UUUGGGCACUGAAUUUGGACUAUUUUCUUUCUAUCACAACGUGUGUCUGAAUGGUGGGAACUUUCUACGUAGAAGAGAAUUAUUUCUGUGCACAAUUGUCCGUCCUGCGAGGAAAGUUAUGGCUGCCCUAUAAAAGGGGACUGAGGUCUUCCUUUGUCCUAGGUUGGGAAGGCCUCCUGGUCAAUAAAUACAUAUUAAUCAUGUAAAAGGAUUGACAUGCAAAUGAAGGGCACCACUGACAGGCCCUGGAUGGCAGAGAGGAAGCCCUUCUGCAGCUGUGUUCCUGUCCGGAGGAAGCCAGGGCAGCACCAGGCUCUUUGCUGGGCGUUUCCUAGAGGGUUAAACACCCUUUUCUAAAAAUUACAUGAAAGAGUUAAUUGAGCUGGAGAUUGCUUUAGGAUCUUUUGCUUGCAUCCUUCUUAGCUUUGCCAAAUCUCCAGGUUUGUAGGUUUUUUGUUUUGUUUUGUGUGUGUGUGUAUGUUUUAAGUUAAGUCUGGGGAUAGGCAGUCCACCCUUUGGAUCGCUGUGUCUCUGGGCCCAACUGGAAGUCUCCAAAGAUGGUCUUGAGCAACUCGGAGGUGUUGGUGAUGGAUACACUUAUCUCUGUAUAAGGAGGCCUGCCAACGAGCCUGGCAAAAUGAUGGUCAACGCACCCAUUCAGCAGAUGUUUGCGGAGCACCUGCUAUGUUCUAGAAUGCAGGCCUGAAUGAGACAGUCAAGACCUCUGCCAACAUGGACCUUAUAGUCUCGUCGGAGAGACAACCGAGAAACAGAAAUGAAGUGAAAUAAUCAGUGCAGAGCACUUCGCACGGUGAUUGGGAUGGAGGGGGCACUCCGUCAGGGGAGCUAUUACCGUUCGUGUUUCUGGAUCCUACAUACAUCUCAGGGCAUUCAUCCAGUACUCUCAACCAAGAACACCACACUGUCCCCAUUCCUCACUGGAUCCUGACAUCCUCUGGUGCCCUGACAAAGCAAGCUGCCUCAAAAAUAUACAUCUGCAAGACAUUACAAAGGUUGGAAGGAAAAGUACGCCCAGCACCCAUGUUGGGACAGGUCUCGCCUUGAUGGAAGUUGCAAAGUAUGGAAUGGGGAGGCCGUGGGAGUUGCCCUUUGUGAGCCUGCUUCAGGCCGAGGAAGACGAGGUCUCUGCACUCCUCCUAAGGUCUUUAACUCCUUCUGAAGCUGUUUUAUAGGUCUGGUUGCUGUACAGUCACUUGGAUGAUAGGUGUGCAAUUAAAUUUUCAAGAUGGCGGAUGCAGUGGGUUAAACUUCAUUUCCCCCAAAGAUGCGUCCGAGUCCUAAACCCUGGUAGCUGCGAAUGAAACUCAUCGAAGGAUGAGAUCAUCCUGGGUUAGAGUGGGUCUUAAAUCCAAUGACUGGUGUCCUGGUAAGAGACAGAUCAUGAGGAGACACAGGGAGAAGGCCACGUGAAGAUGGAAGCAGAGCUUGGAGGGAAGCGGCCACAAACCUUGGAGUAGCAGCAGGCGCUGGAAGCUGGAGGAGGCGGGGAACGACUGAGGAGGGAGUGUGUGGCCCUGCGGAUGCCUUGAUUUCAGACACCUCCUUCCAGGACUGUGAGGAAAUAAAUAUCUGCUGUUUUAACCCCUCUGUUGUGAUUAUUUGUUAGGACAAUCUGAGGAUAUUCUUACGACAGGCAGAGAAGAGCUUGUUUUCAUAGGAGAAAAUCUUCGACCUUCAGUUGGGUCUUCCUUCUGGAAUUUACAGUUGGUUUGCAGACACUCUGACCUUUGUCUUUACAGACUGAA
RNAcentral lists this long non-coding RNA (1766 nucleotides) under Mustela putorius furo (domestic ferret). RNAcentral describes it as "lncRNA (ENSMPUG00000030171.1)". Lineage: Eukaryota; Metazoa; Chordata; Mammalia; Carnivora; Mustelidae. The record is from RNAcentral.